CAAACAUAAAAUGUUGCUGUUUUUAUUAUCAUUUGCACAUUUCCAAUACAUUAUGGGCCAUUUAUACAUGUUCUUUAACUAAAUUACACACACAAUACAAAAUAUAUAAGGAAAGAUGUUUGCUUUAACUUUAGUUCAUUGUAUCCUGCUGGUCAGUAUUUUGGGCAAAUUAUCAGCUCAAUGUUAAUUAGAAAGACUUUAAUUCUUGCUGGAUCAGACUCAUUUCUUGGGACUUUCCAACAGAUGCUUGAGAAUAUGAUUUCAAUUCUUUAAACUGUGCUUAAUCAGUUAAACAUUGCAGUUACAAUAAUAAUAUGUUUUAAUAAUUGCAGUUUUCUGUCUUGGGCUGACAGAUAACUGAUCCUCCAUAUUUUUCGUAAUAAUAAUUUUUAAUAGUUGUUUGAUACUAUAUUUUCCCCCCCUCUUUCUUGAGGGACUCUUAGCUUUUAUUUAACAUACAUAGUUAAAAUUCUGUUUUUGUCGUGUAUGCCAGUAGAUCAUAAAACCAACAACAGCAGCAAAAGGAAACACAGCAGACACACUCAGACCAACUUUCAGUCCAACAGAUCCAUCCUCCCUCUCUCCUCCAUCCUGUGUGUCUGUUGGCCUGACAGAUGUUCCUUGACUUGUGUUCUUCCUUAUUUUAUAAUGUUUUUUGUUUUCUCUUACUUGAGGCACGGUGGGUGUCAUGGAGGAAUUGACGUUCACCUCUUUUGUUAUUUAAGCCUAAUAUUAGCUUACUUAUCAAACCAUUGUUCAUUGGUUUGAUAAGUAACAGUGAAAUUUCAACAGUGAAAUUUCUUGGAAAAUAUGCAGCUGUUUUUGUUUCAUGCUCGGAUGCUAUUGUUUUAGUUUCUCCAGUCAGAUUUUCUCCUGAUUUUCUGGCUUCCUUUUCCCAGCAUCAUCAUCUAAGAAUCUCUGGGACAUUUCAAACAGGUUGCUGUUCAGCUGGAGGCUGGUAUAAAUCUUUACUCUGUUCUUGUUUACGUUUUCUGUAGAGCAAAAAAACUGAAACACCAGCAGUAACAAGAAUUUCAAAAACUGAGAGACCAACAUUCAGUCCAACAGGUCCAUCCUUCUUCCCUCCAUCCUUUCCCUUCACCCUCCUUCAAUUCAUUCAAAACAACUUUCCACUUGCUGUCAGUCUGAUGCAGUUAAACAGUUUCUGGAUUAUUUGAGGUAGAUUCCUAGUUUUCUAUGAUCUAUUUGGGCUGACUGCCUGAGAUCAAAUCUGCAUCAACUGCUUCAAAAGAAAAAGAGAGAAAAGAGAAAAAAAACAUUUACAGCCACAAAAACACAUGAAUAGACUCAAAUAAGACAACAAUAAGGCUAAAACAUUUAUAAGUAAAAACAUUCAAAAAGAGUAAAAUAAAUGAAUAACAAAAUGUGACCAGCUCUUGAAAUAUUUAAACUGACAACCAGAAAACAGAAUGUAAAGUUCAAAAAGCUUCACAGAUCAGAGGAAACAUAUAAACAGCUGCUGAAGAUUCAGAUUCUAUCAGGUACAAGACACCACAGUCCAAUUUUCCAAUACAUCAGAAGCCAAACAUCAUCUGUGUUGGAAUUAAAUUGACAAUUUAAUAUAUGUAAAGAACAUGAAAUGCUAACAGAAAUGGUUUAGUGUUUUAUUCAAUAUUAGGCAGCAUCUAGUGUAAACUUUGCCUGUUGAUGGCAAAUGGUAAAUGGCCUGCAUUUGUAUAGCACUUUACUUAGUCCCUAAGGACCCCAAAGCGCUUUACACUAUGUCUUUGAUUCUUCUUGGAUCAUUUUGGGUCUAAUUUCUUAGAUCUCUCCCACAGAUGCUGGAUAAUGUUUUAAAUUCUGAAUUGCAUUGUGAUAUUACAGUUUAAAUAACCUACAAGUUUUAAUAAAUGCAGUUUCCCAUUAUGGAUUGAUUUACUGCUUCUUGUCCUUUUUCCUGAUAGUAAUAAUAAUAAUAAUAACAAUAAUAAUAAUAAUGGUGAUGAUAAUAGUAAUAGUAAAAUAAUAAAUCUCUUUUUUAUCCUAUUGAGAGGCAGUUAGCUUUUUAUUUAACAUCGUUUCUGCUGUAAAAUCUUUUUUUAAUUGAAGCAACUCUUUUGGUUUUGUAGAUGUUCUUGUUUUAGGUUCUUCAGUCAGAUUUACUCCUGCCUUUGUUGCUUUAGUGAUACAGGCUUCUCUUACCCAGCAUCACCAUGUAAGAAGCUCUGAGAUAUUUCAAAGCUGAUGUAUUUCACUAGGAUGCUGGAAUGAAUCCCGACUCUGUCGUUGUUUAUAUUUUCUGAAGAUCCAAAAACCAACAGGAGCAGCAACAAGAAGCACAGCAGAAACUGACAGACCAACGAUCAGUCCAACAGAUCCAUCCUCUGUGUCUCCUCCUGUCUGACCUGCAGG
Long non-coding RNA from Oreochromis aureus, 2373 nucleotides. The record is from Ensembl. NCBI's taxonomy places the organism in Eukaryota, Metazoa, Chordata, Actinopteri, Cichliformes, Cichlidae.